Passer domesticus (house sparrow) is the source of this 676-nucleotide long non-coding RNA. RefSeq lists it as uncharacterized. NCBI's taxonomy places the organism in Eukaryota, Metazoa, Chordata, Aves, Passeriformes, Passeridae. The transcript has 3 exons. The record is from RefSeq and is a predicted model, not a curated record.
GGGCUGCCUCAGCUUUAGGGUGCCCAGCUGCCAUUUGCAAUGUCAUGUCAGCCUUUGGUAGGGGAGCAUCUCUGCCUGUAGUGCAUUAUAGACUGUAGUGGUUCUUCCUGCUGCAGGUAACCCCAGCAGGUUCAAAAGCAAUUAUUCACUCGUGUCCAACAAAAGAAGCCUCUUCUCAGAUGUUCCCCGGAGGUCUGCUGUUCUCUGGUGGUCCUGCAGCAGGUCAGCCAGGAGCAGAGAGGGAGCUGAGCAGCUACAUGUGGGUUCUCAGCACAGACGUGGAUGUGAAGACCAGACAUCCCCCUUGGAGUGGCCACCUGCUCUGCCCUCUCAGACUCUGGCACCAAUCACCAAAGCAGAGGUGGGAGCAGGUCCUUCAAGAUCCAAUAAGAAAUUCCAGAUCCUGUGCUGUCACUGCUGAGGCACUCCCCAUGUGCUCCUGCUCCCUUCCUGUGUAAAACCCAGGGAAAUUUCAGGAAGUUCUGAUGGAUAACUCCAGCUCUGGAAAUGAGACAAAACAACAAGAGGAGAGAUUUAAAUGACUGUUGUGAGCAUUAAAUGCAGAAGAGGUUCUGAUAUGACACUGUGCACAAGUUUCUAUUAAAACACAAAAUUUGCCUCUAUCCUCAGUACAAUUUGCUAGUAACAGUAAACCUGAAUUUCUCAACACUGUUCA